AGAGAGCGACGGGCGAUGUGUACACACCUCAGAGCCAACUUCAAUAAAGAAUUUUAUUCUAAAUUUACUACUAAAUCCACCUUAAUAAUAUGUAUACAUAUACUAAUCCGUAUAAUUAUAAUUUAUUGUAACCCACUUCUCCCAUAUUUAUAAGCUGCACCUUGACCUGAAGUCAUAAAUUUAAAAUUAACUAGAUUAUAUUUUCUAAAAAUAAUCUGACAACGGCGGUAUACAAACUGAAUACAAAAAUAUGUACAUUUAAACGUGGAAUAUCGAUCCAAGAGCAGGUUCCUCUAGUAAGAAUGAAGUACCGCCAAAUUCUUUAGGUUUAAAAAUCUCUACUACCCUGGCAACAAAUUUAAUAGGGAAUAAUAGGGUAUCUAAUCCUAGUUUAAACCCCUAUCUACAAAGUUAAUAAAUUUACUAAAAAUUUUUAAUUUAAAAAAAGAAAGAUUUUACCCCUAAUUUUUCAUCAAAAAAAUCCCUUUAAAAUUAAUAUUUACUUAAUUCCACCAAUCUGUUUCAUUUAAAUCCUUCGUAUAACC
This 545-nucleotide ribosomal RNA is filed under the name Triops cancriformis cancriformis. RNAcentral describes it as "partial 12S ribosomal RNA". The record is from RNAcentral. Lineage: Eukaryota; Metazoa; Arthropoda; Branchiopoda; Notostraca; Triopsidae.